GAAAUGGGGGGGAAAGAAGGAGUGAGGGAAGAUUCACAAGAGGGAGGACAGGAGAGAAGGAGGAACAGCUAAAAUAGGUGUCAGGCCCUCUGCCUCAUCCUAGCCAGCAGGCCCUCUCUCUCUCUCUCUCUGUGUGUGUGUGUGUGCUGUGCUUGAUUGCAGAAGUAGAGAUUGGUGUGCAGGGGUUGUGCUGCAGCUGCAAACCGUCAUCAAUCUACUCUACUACAAAUACUGGUCUUCAACUUCACCCCGCUGCCAGAUCGUAGACUCUGUUCCCACACAGCACUCGGCCCAAUUCCUGCCUCCAUUCCACUAGCACACAUCUCUGGAUCUCUGGACUCAGCACUCAGCUCUGGAUCUCUGGAUCUCUAGAUCUCUGGAUCUCUGGAUCUCCUUCCCCACUCUGCCUGCAAACUCACCUGCCUUGCUCUACCCAGUUCUCGCCAUCAUAAAUUAAGUAUUGUAAAUAAAUUAUUUCAAUGAAGCU
Sebastes umbrosus (honeycomb rockfish) is the source of this 487-nucleotide long non-coding RNA. RefSeq lists it as uncharacterized. The transcript is spliced from 2 exons. The record is from RefSeq and is a predicted model, not a curated record. NCBI's taxonomy places the organism in Eukaryota, Metazoa, Chordata, Actinopteri, Perciformes, Sebastidae.